UGUACGUACAAGCAGUGGGAGCACCUUUAUGGUGUGACUGCGUACCUUUUGUAUAAUGGGUCAGCGACUUAUAUUCUGUAGCAAGGUUAACCGUAUAGGGGAGCCGCAGGGAAACCGAGUCUUAACUGGGCGUUAAGUUGCAGGGUAUAGACCCGAAACCCGGUGAUCUAGCCAUGGGCAGGUUGAAGGUUGGGUAACACUAACUGGAGGACCGAACCGACUAAUGUUGAAAAAUUAGCGGAUGACUUGUGGCUGGGGGUGAAAGGCCAAUCAAACCGGGAGAUAGCUGGUUCUCCCCGAAAGCUAUUUAGGUAGCGCCUCGUGAACUCAUCUUCGGGGGUAGAGCACUGUUUCGGCUAGGGGGUCAUCCCGACUUACCAACCCGAUGCAAACUACGAAUACCGAAGAAUGUUAUCACGGGAGACACACGGCGGGUGCUAACGUCCGUCGUGAAGAGGGAAACAACCCAGACCGCCAGCUAAGGUCCCAAAGUCAUGGUUAAGUGGGAAACGAUGUGGGAAGGCACAGACAGCCAGGAUGUUGGCUUAGAAGCAGCCAUCAUUUAAAGAAAGCGUAAUAGCUCACUGGUCGAGUCGGCCUGCGCGGAAGAUGUAACGGGGCUAAACCAUGCACCGAAGCUGCGGCAGCGACACUAUGUGUUGUUGGGUAGGGGAGCGUUCUGUAAGCCUGCGAAGGUGGCCUGUGAGGGCUGCUGGAGGUAUCAGAAGUGCGAAUGCUGACAUAAGUAACGAUAAAGCGGGUGAAAAGCCCGCUCGCCGGAAGACCAAGGGUUCCUGUCCAACGUUAAUCGGGGCAGGGUGAGUCGACCCCUAAGGCGAGGCCGAAAGGCGUAGUCGAUGGGAAACAGGUUAAUAUUCCUGUACUUGGUGUUACUGCGAAGGGGGGACGGAGAAGGCUAUGUUAGCCGGGCGACGGUUGUCCCGGUUUAAGCAUGUAGGCUGGUUAUCCAGGCAAAUCCGGAUAAUCAAGGCUGAGGUGUGAUGACGAGGCACUACGGUGCUGAAGUAACAAAUGCCCUGCUUCCAGGAAAAGCCUCUAAGCAUCAGGUAACAUCAAAUCGUACCCCAAACCGACACAGGUGGUCAGGUAGAGAAUACCAAGGCGCUUGAGAGAACUCGGGUGAAGGAACUAGGCAAAAUGGUGCCGUAACUUCGGGAGAAGGCACGCUGGUGUGUAGGUGAAGUCCCUGCGGAUGGAGCUGAGACCAGUCGAAGAUACCAGCUGGCUGCAACUGUUUAUUAAAAACACAGCACUGUGCAAACACGAAAGUGGACGUAUACGGUGUGACGCCUGCCCGGUGCCGGAAGGUUAAUUGAUGGGGUUAUCCGUAAGGAGAAGCUCUUGAUCGAAGCCCCGGUAAACGGCGGCCGUAACUAUAACGGUCCUAAGGUAGCGAAAUUCCUUGUCGGGUAAGUUCCGACCUGCACGAAUGGCGUAAUGAUGGCCAGGCUGUCUCCACCCGAGACUCAGUGAAAUUGAACUCGCUGUGAAGAUGCAGUGUACCCGCGGCAAGACGGAAAGACCCCGUGAACCUUUACUAUAGCUUGACACUGAACAUUGAGCCUUGAUGUGUAGGAUAGGUGGGAGGCUUUGAAGCGUGGACGCCAGUCUGCGUGGAGCCAACCUUGAAAUACCACCCUUUAAUGUUUGAUGUUCUAACGUUGGCCCCUUAUCGGGGUUGCGGACAGUGUCUGGUGGGUAGUUUGACUGGGGCGGUCUCCUCCCAAAGCGUAACGGAGGAGCACGAAGGUUAGCUAAUCCUGGUCGGACAUCAGGAGGUUAGUGCAAUGGCAUAAGCUAGCUUGACUGCGAGCGUGACGGCGCGAGCAGGUGCGAAAGCAGGUCAUAGUGAUCCGGUGGUUCUGAAUGGAAGGGCCAUCGCUCAACGGAUAAAAGGUACUCCGGGGAUAACAGGCUGAUACCGCCCAAGAGUUCAUAUCGACGGCGGUGUUUGGCACCUCGAUGUCGGCUCAUCACAUCCUGGGGCUGAAGUAGGUCCCAAGGGUAUGGCUGUUCGCCAUUUAAAGUGGUACGCGAGCUGGGUUUAGAACGUCGUGAGACAGUUCGGUCCCUAUCUGCCGUGGGCGCUGGAGAAUUGAGGGGGGCUGCUCCUAGUACGAGAGGACCGGAGUGGACGCAUCACUGGUGUUCGGGUUGUCAUGCCAAUGGCACUGCCCGGUAGCUAAAUGCGGAAGAGAUAAGUGCUGAAAGCAUCUAAGCACGAAACUUGCCCCG
RNAcentral lists this ribosomal RNA (2256 nucleotides) under Klebsiella quasipneumoniae. RNAcentral describes it as "partial 23S ribosomal RNA". It matches the Rfam family "Bacterial large subunit ribosomal RNA", at positions 559 to 2801 of the family's 2925-position model. The record is from RNAcentral. Lineage: Bacteria; Pseudomonadati; Pseudomonadota; Gammaproteobacteria; Enterobacterales; Enterobacteriaceae.